Molecule: long non-coding RNA, 660 nt
Filed under: Ictidomys tridecemlineatus (thirteen-lined ground squirrel)
Lineage: Eukaryota; Metazoa; Chordata; Mammalia; Rodentia; Sciuridae
Description: lncRNA (ENSSTOG00000029631.1)
Source: RNAcentral
GCAAUCUGACCCUGCUCUUCAGAAACUGCUUAGUCAAAGCUUGUCUCCCAGCCUGGUCAGCUGCUUUCAGGUCAUUUUUUUUUUUUUUUUUUUUUUUUUAGUCUUCUACACCAACAGUCUGUGCUGAUUCAGGCUCUGUAUGUCCUAAACAGGAUCUCCAUUUAGUGGCACCACUCUCAACCUAGUAAUUCAAGCCAAAAAGCUGGGAGCCAGCUGUUACAUAUCCCCUGACAUGGAACUUGCCCAGUUUUACCAGGGAAACCCUGACUGAGUCUCUUCCACAUCAACAACUGCAAAGGCCCUAGGGCAUCUUGUUGGGUCUUCCUGUCUCCUCCACACUACAAAGAUGGGUUACAGAAGCAUCUGCAUCCUUCCAGGGUCUUCUUCAAGUACACGAGCCUACUCUUCUGUAUGACUUCCUGUUCCAUGAUCUUCAUUUUUUCUUCCUGAAAGAAGAGAAUAUGGAAUUGUUACACUCAACGGACUGCAACAAAAAGCUGAUCCAUCUCUCUUAUCCAUCAUGGAAGGGAAAAGAGAAAACUGAAACUGGUUAUUACACAAAAUCAAGUUCACUAUUGUAAAAUAAAGAGUGUUUUCUAUCAUUUGCUCUCUUUCCUUCAAAAGUAAUAAAUAUUAUUUUCCUUUUAUGCAACUAUAUCA